RNAcentral lists this ribosomal RNA (417 nucleotides) under uncultured Methylomirabilota bacterium. RNAcentral's name for it is "bacterial SSU rRNA". It matches the Rfam family "Bacterial small subunit ribosomal RNA", at positions 1000 to 1414 of the family's 1533-position model. Lineage: Bacteria; Methylomirabilota (SeqCode). The record is from RNAcentral.
CGCGAAAGCAGGGGGUGCCCGCAAGGGAGCCGAGAGACAGGUGGUGCAUGGUUGUCGUCAGCUCGUGUCGUGAGAUGUUGGGUUAAGUCCCGCAACGAGCGCAACCCUCACCCCUUGUUGCCAUCAGGUCAUGCUGGGCACUCUAGGGGAACUGCCAGCGCUAAGCUGGAGGAAGGUGGGGAUGACGUCAAGUCAUCAUGCCCCUUACGCCCUGGGCUACACACGUGCUACAAUGGCCGGUACAAAGGGAUGCGAGACCGCGAGGUGGAGCUAAACCCAAAAGGCCGGUCUAAGUUCAGAUCGGAGUCUGCAACUCGACUCCGUGAAGGAGGAAUCGCUAGUAAUCGCGCAUCAGCACGGCGCGGUGAAUACGUUCCCGGGCCUUGUACACACCGCCCGUCACACCACGAAAGCCAG